RNAcentral lists this unclassified non-coding RNA (337 nucleotides) under uncultured fungus. RNAcentral describes it as "partial contains small subunit ribosomal RNA, internal transcribed spacer 1, and 5.8S ribosomal RNA". The stretch from base 1 to 73 matches the Rfam family "Eukaryotic small subunit ribosomal RNA", at positions 1759 to 1831 of the family's 1831-position model. The record is from RNAcentral. Lineage: Eukaryota; Fungi.
GCAAACUUGGUCAUUUAGAGGAAGUAAAAGUCGUAACAAGGUUUCCGUAGGUGAACCUGCGGAAGGAUCAUUAACAAAUCCUUUUUAUUGUGCUUGUAUCAUAUUGAUUGUUGAUUCAUGUGCAUUGUGAUGAAUGAUGCAUGUGCUUCUUCCCUCUCAAUGUGAUCACACACAUGUGUUCCAUGUGCACUUGUUUAUGCAUUUGCACAUUUGACAUUUCUGCUUUAUUUGUCUGAUUAUUAUCAUGCCAUUUGGUUGGGAUGAUAAGUAAUGUAUUAUGCAAAGAAUGACUUUUAACAAUGGAUCUCUAGGCUCUUGCAUCGAUGAAGAACGCAGC